ACAGGGUGACAGGUGGUGCAUGGUUGUCGUCAGCUCGUGUCGUGAGAUGUUGGGUUAAGUCCCGCAACGAGCGCAACCCUCGACCUUAGUUGCCAGCAUUCAGUUGGGCACUCUAAGGUGACUGCCGGCUAAAAGUCGGAGGAAGGUGGGGAUGACGUCAAAUCAUCAUGCCCCUUAUGACCUGGGCUACACACGUGCUACAAUGGGCUGUACAAAGGGUCGCGAACCCGCGAGGGGGAGCCAAUCCCAAAAAGCCGCUCUCAGUUCGGAUUGCAGGCUGCAACUCGCCUGCAUGAAGCCGGAAUCGCUAGUAAUCGCGGAUCAGCAUGCCGCGGUGAAUACGUUCCCGGGCCUU
RNAcentral lists this ribosomal RNA (355 nucleotides) under uncultured Anoxybacillus sp. Its description in RNAcentral is "bacterial SSU rRNA". It matches the Rfam family "Bacterial small subunit ribosomal RNA", at positions 1026 to 1382 of the family's 1533-position model. The record is from RNAcentral. Lineage: Bacteria; Bacillati; Bacillota; Bacilli; Caryophanales; Anoxybacillaceae.